GGCCCAGUGGUGUAGUGGUUAUCACGUCCGCUUUAUAUGCCGAUGGUCCUCGGUUCGAACCCGGGCUAGACCG
This 73-nucleotide transfer RNA is filed under the name Echinostoma caproni. It matches the Rfam family "tRNA". From Rfam's summary of the family: Transfer RNA (tRNA) molecules are approximately 80 nucleotides in length. Their secondary structure includes four short double-helical elements and three loops (D, anti-codon, and T loops). The record is from Rfam by way of RNAcentral. Lineage: Eukaryota; Metazoa; Platyhelminthes; Trematoda; Plagiorchiida; Echinostomatidae.